Molecule: ribosomal RNA, 301 nt
Filed under: uncultured bacterium
Lineage: Bacteria
Description: partial 16S ribosomal RNA
Rfam family: Bacterial small subunit ribosomal RNA
Source: RNAcentral
CAGCCGCCGCGGGAACACGAAGAGGGCUAGCGUUGCUCGGAAUGACUGGGCGUAAAGGGCGCGUAGGCGGCGGCCAAAGUCAGGCGUGAAAUUCCCGGGCUCAACCUGGGGGCUGCGUUUGAUACUUGGUUGCUUGAGUGGGGAAGAGGGUCGUGGAAUUCCCAGUGUAGAGGUGAAAUUCGUAGAUAUUGGGAAGAACACCGGUGGCGAAGGCGGCGACCUGGUCCUUUACUGACGCUGAGGCGCGAAAGCGUGGGGAGCAAACAGGAUUAGAUACCCGGGUAGUCCCUGUCUCUUAUAC